Non-coding RNA from Phrynosoma platyrhinos (Desert horned lizard), 74 nucleotides. The record is from the annotation of a GenBank genome assembly. NCBI's taxonomy places the organism in Eukaryota, Metazoa, Chordata, Lepidosauria, Squamata, Phrynosomatidae.
GUUUAGGGCUAGUGUAGCGGUUUGAAUGUUGGACUAUGACUCUGGAGAACAGGGUUUGAAUCCCUGCCUGGUCA